AGGUCAGCCUGCCCAGUGAAAUAAUUUAACGGCCGCGGUAUAUUAACCGCGCAAAGGUAGCGCAAUCACUUGUUCCCUAAAUAGGGACCCGUAUGAAUGGCAUCACGAGGAUUUAACUGUCUCCCUCCCCCAAUCUGUGAAACUAAUCUCCCUGUGAAAAAGCAGGGAUAAACGUAUAAGACGAGAAGACCCUAUGGAACUUUAAACAAAUAGUAUUUGCUCCCUUCUCUUCCCCUUCCCGAAAACAAGCACUUCAUGAGCACACUAACUAAGAGUUUUCGGUUGGGGUGACCACGGAGAAAAACUUAUCCUCCACGUUGAAAAACCUAUAAUUCUAAACCACAAGACACAACUUUAAAGAUCAGUAAACUGACAUUAUUGACCCAAACUUUUGAUCAACGAACCAAGCUACCCUAGGGAUAACAGCGCAAUCUACUUCGAGAGCACAUAUCGACAAGUAGGCUUACGACCUCGAUGUUGGAUCAGGGUAACCUGGUGGUGCAGCCGCUACAAAAGGUUCGUUUGUUCAACGAUUAAACCCCU
RNAcentral lists this ribosomal RNA (543 nucleotides) under Craugastor raniformis. Its description in RNAcentral is "partial 16S ribosomal RNA". It matches the Rfam family "Bacterial large subunit ribosomal RNA", at positions 1851 to 2597 of the family's 2925-position model. Lineage: Eukaryota; Metazoa; Chordata; Amphibia; Anura; Craugastoridae. The record is from RNAcentral.